UACCUGCAGUAUAGACUUACAUGCCUUUGAUAGUAAUAGUGUUUUGUUGUUGUUGUUGUUUGUUUGUUUUUUUAAGCUCUCCUCAAUUCAUUGCUGGUGGUUGCUGGUGCAUGGAGAUAACAUCUCAAUUAGCAUCUCAACAGGGCAUGCUGUUAAAGGUGCUAAAAAGCACCACGUGGGAGAUUUCACAGACCUGGAUAAACAAGUAUCAGUGUGAUCAGAACAUGAGAGUAAUUUUUCUAAGAUUAUCACUGUCAACUCUCAUGAUGAAAGAAUCGAAGAGAACUGAAGUACAACUCCUACGCUGCUGAAGCAGUCACUCAUGUAGUGUGGAAAAAAAAAAAAGCACCUGCCAGUGGUGGCUCCCUCAUUUUUAUAGCUAGCUUCUCCAGUUUUCUCAAGUGUUCAACACAACAAGAAAUUCUCUUAGAGGAACAGAUGUGCUAGAGAGUAAGUAAUGAAAAACAGAGUUUCACUUUAGGUUAUCGGGCUGAGUGUGUUUCAUCUGGAUAGACACAGUAAGUUGUCAUCUGAGGAAUAUUUGCCUGCAUAUUUCAAAACAGAUGGGAAAUAUAGUGGUGUUCCUAGGAGAAAAAUGUUAUUACUUUGGAAAUUUCUAUUGGC
This is a long non-coding RNA of Numida meleagris (helmeted guineafowl), 624 nucleotides long. NCBI's taxonomy places the organism in Eukaryota, Metazoa, Chordata, Aves, Galliformes, Numididae. The record is from Ensembl.